Molecule: ribosomal RNA, 480 nt
Filed under: uncultured Cellulomonas sp.
Lineage: Bacteria; Bacillati; Actinomycetota; Actinomycetes; Micrococcales; Cellulomonadaceae
Description: bacterial SSU rRNA
Rfam family: Bacterial small subunit ribosomal RNA
Source: RNAcentral
AAAGUUGGACCGGGGGGCCCGCACAAGCGGCGGAGCAUGCGGUAUUAAUUCGAUGCAACGCGAAGAACCUUACCAAGGCUUGACAUACACCGGUAACGCCCAGAGAUGGGUCGCCCCUUUGUGGUCGGUGGACAGGUGGUGCAUGGUUGUCGUCAGCUCGUGUCGUGAGAUGUUGGGUUAAGUCCCGCAACGAGCGCAACCCUCGUCCUAUGUUGCCAGCGGGUCAUGCCGGGGACUCAUGGGAGACUGCCGGGGUCAACUCGGAGGAAGGUGGGAUGACGUCAAAUCAUCAUGCCCCUUAUGUCUUGGGCUUCACGCAUGCUACAAUGGCCGGUACAAAGGGCUGCGAUACCGCGAGGUGGAGCGAAUCCCAGAAAGCCGGUCUCAGUUCGGAUUGGGGUCUGCAACUCGACCCCAUGAAGUCGGAGUCGCUAGUAAUCGCAGAUCAGCAACGCUGCGGUGAAUACGUUCCCGGGCCUU